Molecule: ribosomal RNA, 475 nt
Filed under: uncultured organism
Description: partial 16S ribosomal RNA
Rfam family: Bacterial small subunit ribosomal RNA
Source: RNAcentral
UACACUCCUACGGGAGGCAGCAGUGGGGAAUAUUGCACAAUGGGCGCAAGCCUGAUGCAGCCAUGCCGCGUGUAUGAAGAAGGCCUUCGGGUUGUAAAGUACUUUCAGCGGGGAGGAAGGCGAUAAGGUUAAUAACCUUGUUGAUUGACGUUACCCGCAGAAGAAGCACCGGCUAACUCCGUGCCAGCAGCCGCGGUAAUACGGAGGGUGCAAGCGUUAAUCGGAAUUACUGGGCGUAAAGCGCACGCAGGCGGUCUGUCAAGUCGGAUGUGAAAUCCCCGGGCUCAACCUGGGAACUGCAUUCGAAACUGGCAGGCUAGAGUCUUGUAGAGGGGGGUAGAAUUCCAGGUGUAGCGGUGAAAUGCGUAGAGAUCUGGAGGAAUACCGGUGGCGAAGGCGGCCCCCUGGACAAAGACUGACGCUCAGGUGCGAAAGCGUGGGGAGCAAACAGGAUUAGAAACCCCAGUAGUCCCAU